RNAcentral lists this ribosomal RNA (574 nucleotides) under uncultured bacterium. Its description in RNAcentral is "partial 16S ribosomal RNA". It matches the Rfam family "Bacterial small subunit ribosomal RNA", at positions 355 to 920 of the family's 1533-position model. The record is from RNAcentral.
UGGGGAAUUUUGGACAAUGGGCGAAAGCCUGAUCCAGCAAUGCCGCGUGUGUGAAGAAGGCCUUCGGGUUGUAAAGCACUUUUGUCCGGAAAGAAAUCCUUGGCUCUAAUACAGUCGGGGGAUGACGGUACCGGAAGAAUAAGCACCGGCUAACUACGUGCCAGCAGCCGCGGUAAUACGUAGGGUGCAAGCGUUAAUCGGAAUUACUGGGCGUAAAGCGUGCGCAGGCGGUUUGCUAAGACCGAUGUGAAAUCCCCGGGCUCAACCUGGGAACUGCAUUGGGUGACUGGCAGGCUAGAGUAUGGCAGAGGGGGGUAGAAUUCCACGUGUAGCAGUGAAAUGCGUAGAGAUGUGGAGGAAUACCGAUGGCGAAGGCAGCCCCCUGGGCCAAUACUGACGCUCAUGCACGAAAGCGUGGGGAGCAAACAGGAUUAGAUACCCUGGGUAGUCCACGCCCUAAACGAUGUCAACUAGUUGUUGGGGAUUCAUUUCCUUAGUAACGUAGCUAACGCGUGAAGUUGACCGCCUGGGGAGUACGGUCGCAAGAUUAAAACUCAAAGGAAUUGACGGGGUC